RNAcentral lists this ribosomal RNA (189 nucleotides) under Staphylococcus aureus. RNAcentral describes it as "partial 16S ribosomal RNA". It matches the Rfam family "Bacterial small subunit ribosomal RNA", at positions 1 to 184 of the family's 1533-position model. The record is from RNAcentral. Lineage: Bacteria; Bacillati; Bacillota; Bacilli; Caryophanales; Staphylococcaceae.
UUUAUGGAGAGUUUGAUCCUGGCUCAGGAUGAACGCUGGCGGCGUGCCUAAUACAUGCAAGUCGAGCGAACGGACGAGAAGCUUGCUUCUCUGAUGUUAGCGGCGGACGGGGGAGUAACACGUGGAUAACCUACCUAUAAGACUGGGAUAACUUCGGGAAACCGGAGCUAAUACCGGAUAAUAUUUUGA